This 393-nucleotide unclassified non-coding RNA is filed under the name uncultured fungus. Its description in RNAcentral is "partial contains small subunit ribosomal RNA, internal transcribed spacer 1, and 5.8S ribosomal RNA". The stretch from base 1 to 73 matches the Rfam family "Eukaryotic small subunit ribosomal RNA", at positions 1759 to 1831 of the family's 1831-position model. Lineage: Eukaryota; Fungi. The record is from RNAcentral.
UCAAACUUGGUCAUUUAGAGGAAGUAAAAGUCGUAACAAGGUAACCGUAGGUGAACCUGCGGUUGGAUCAUUAACAAAUUGAUCAAGGCAUCAGGCUUCACAGCCGUGCCUGCGUUUCUCUCGUGCAAGCGAGUCAGAAACACACACCCAAUUGUGAACCGUUUUCUGUCUCUGGCGGUGGGGUUUGACGAGAAAAGCAUCUUGUUUGCUUCUCUCGCGAGCCUGUCAGCAACGAUCAUACACAUGAGCGCUGCCGUGGACAAGCCGCCAACCAUUUCUUCAAUAACGCAUUGUCUGAUUUUGUUUGUCUUACCUGUUUUGUUUUGUAUAAAUGUACAAAAAACAACUUUUGGCAACGGAUCUCUUGGCUCUCGCAUCGAUGAAGAACGCAGC